Molecule: RNA transcript, 2678 nt
Organism: Silurus meridionalis
Lineage: Eukaryota; Metazoa; Chordata; Actinopteri; Siluriformes; Siluridae
Exons: 6
Source: RefSeq, a predicted model, not a curated record
UGUCAGACGAGCGAGCGAAAGUUAGUCCCAUCUUGAAGAAACCUGCUCUGGAUCUAUUGGACAUCAACAACUACAGACCGGUAUUACUUUUUUCCAAAUCUCUGGAAUGCAGUGUUUUUCACCAACUGUCUGUCUCUCUCAAAACAACCUCCAAGAUCCAAACCAGUCUGGCUUCAAAACGGCACACUCCACAGAGACGGCCCUUUUGGUGGUCACUGAGAAACCACAGGCUGCUCGAUCAGCCAAUCUGUUAUCUGUACUCAUCCUCCUCAACCUUUCAGCAGCAUUUGACACAGUCAACCACAACUCUGGUCUACCCUCAGGAGCCUCAGGAUCUGUGGAGCAGUAUGGGAAUGGUUUGCUUCCUACCUGGAAGGUUGCUCAUACCAGGAAACAUGGAGGUCCACAUCUGCCCCAUACAGACUCUCCACUGGUGUUAUACAAGUGGGACCUCAUCGCAUCUCGCACUGCACCACGCUGUCUGAGAUCCUCCAGCACUGCUCCACUGGUACCACCUUCUCUCAGAAUGAGAGCAGGAUGAAGCUCCCUGGACAUCCACCCUGCUAUAUACUGCCCAGGAACACCUUGAGGAAUGUCACAAAGAGCAAACCUUCUGCGAUUCCUGCUGAAUCUCCACAACAGUGUAAAAACAGUGACCUUUGAGCAGGAUCUUCAUCUUUGGCAAGAAGGAGAAGUUCUGCAAGAGCCAAAUUUGGAGAUUAGGAUGGGUGCGGAAGUGAGAUCAUGGACCACCUGUUGCACAGCUCCUGAAGUACACAGGACCAUGUCUUUUGGCGCAUUGACUUAUGAAGUAACUCUUCUCCCCAUGUGUUUUCGCUCACACUCGGGGUCUUGCAGCUCAACUCUGAGAGGGCAGAACAUCUCACAGCGCUCUGAAACCUUGAACCAUCAUCAGAGAACUCGACUUUCAUCAGCUUCCAUUAAACAGAUAAUGUGGUGUCUCCUGGAAGCAUCAGUGCAGCAUUUAUGCACCGCACAAGAAUUGGCCAUCUGCUGGAAAAGCCUGGCGGUGAAGCCUGUGAUCGGCCGGCGAGGGGACGCGCCCCGAGCCCACUGUGGCGUACAACCUGCUGACGAAGGGCACUGCUGAGGAGAACCUGGAGGCCUAAUUAAACAUCUCUAAACAGAUUGCAGAGAGAGUGGGAGGAACCCUGGGGGGGUGCGGUUGGGCAGAUCUGCUCUUUAUCCUCACCCCCUACUGCACUGACGACGGCGAACUGCCCCGGCACAACCUGCUCUGAGUCAGGGCAUAAACCUCACUGAGGCAGGUUACAUCUCAGCCCACCUCCAUCACUGAUCCUGAAUCCAUCUCACCCAGCAUCACACACUUCUCAACUCUGCUACAGAGCAACCGGAUACACACCGUGUGUUGCCAUAGUGAUGACACCAUGUUUUAUUCAAUAUCAAAUCAGGGCAGCUGUUGACCUUGAGGACAUAGCUCAUCAUGGAGUAAUAUUUUUUGUCAUUUUACCUGGGAAAAGCACACCAGGGCUGAGCCGGAAGAACUCAGAGGAAACCUGAGAUGGACAGACCUAAGUUUCAACAUCAGGAUUAUGCAGCUGUAAAAUCUUUACAAAACAAAGCUUUGGGGAUCCCAACUUCUGCAAGGUUCAUCCUGUUUUCCAAUAACUGAUAGAAGCUUUUUUAACAUCACACAGCACAUCCAGAUCCUAAAGAACCAGCCAGAGCUGCCGGACGAUUUUCAGGAACUAUUUCCUUACCAGAGUCUGGAGAGCUUUACCACAUCACUGUGGCGAUAGAAGGACAGGAGACGGGUGAGAGAGCAACCUUCAGUCACAGGAACGACAGAAUGCCAGCAAUUCCAGGAAAGAUUCCAUCUUCCUUAUGAAGAGCACCAGAAUUCUGGAACCAAUCAGAUGAAAGUGUGUUCCAUUUCAGCACUGCACACUGCAAGUUCUCCAGAGUUCUUCAUGAAACGCGGUUCUGAUUGGACGAGCAGCAGAUUCAUCUCACUGCUUUCCCAUAUAUCUCAUCUGUUCCAGAACUUAAGGAGAGAAAGAGAGGGGGGUAGUGGGAGAGAAAGAAAGAGCAAGACUGUUAGAGGGAGCUAGAGAGAGAGAGAGAAGAUGGAUGGAUAGAGCAUAUAUAACUAUAGAUAUAUUCAAGGCAGGAAGGUGGUUCCUUGGCCCAGACUGAAGUCCCUGUGUUGCUGUGGAACAGGUUUAUAUUGAGGAGCUCUCUGUUCUUUGCUUCAUUCAGCUUUCCCUCUACCCUGACCAGUCUCUCAGCUCCUGCUGCAGAAAAACACCCAUACAGCAUGAUGCUGCCACCACCAUGCUUCACUGCUGGAAUGGUUUUAGGCAGGUGAUUAGCGGUGCUUGGUUUCCUCCAGACAUAAGAUUUGGAACUGAGAACCUCCCGGUGCCUGUUGGCAAACUCCAAGCGGCUUCCAUGGGUUUUGCACACUACACCUGUUAUAUGGAGGUGUAGUGGAGGUGUAAUAUGGAGGUGUAGUGGAGGUGUUAUAUGGAGGUGUAGUGGAGGUGUUAUAUGGAGGUGUAAUAUGGAGGUGUAGUGGAGGUGUUAUAUGGAGGUGUAAUAUGGAGGUGUAGUGGAGGUGUUAUAUGGACGUGUAGUGGAGGUUUUAUAUGGAACUGUAGUGGAGGGGUAGUGGAGGUGUAAUAUGGAGGUGUAGU